RNA transcript from Cucurbita pepo subsp. pepo (vegetable marrow), 1158 nucleotides. It is a transcript of the gene named Tetraspanin family protein, with no coding region annotated. The record is from RefSeq and is a predicted model, not a curated record. Lineage: Eukaryota; Viridiplantae; Streptophyta; Magnoliopsida; Cucurbitales; Cucurbitaceae.
UUUAAAUUCAUUGGGUGAAAGAAGCCGUCGUCAUAUGUCCAACGGUGGACGAACGGGCUUCGAUGAAAAUGGGUAAACUGUUCCUUGGAAAUAGGAAGGAGCGCAAAAAUCGCAAAAGUCCCUUAAAGCCAGAAAAAGCGCAAAAAUCUUGGCGCGCAGCGGAUAUUUCUGGCGGUUGAAUAUUACGUUCAUUAGGCUUUUCUUCGCUAUCUGCUUUCUCAUUUUUUGUUUGCGUAUUGUCUGGUCAAUUGUGUAUUGGCAACAAAUGGUGAGAAUGAUAAGGGCGUGCAUACAAUCUUUGUUGAAGUUUGUGAAUUCUGGAAAUGGGUUGGUUGGAAUCGCCAUGAUUUUGUAUGGAAUUUGGUUGAUGAGGGCUUGGCAGAGGCAUUUGGGCCAUUUUCCCUUUGAAAGACCCGAUGACCCAAUUCCAUGGUUCAUGUACAGUUUUUUUGGCGUGGGCAUUCUUCUAUGUGUGAUCACAUGCGUGGGUCAUAUUGCUGCUGAAACUGCUCGUGGUUGUUGCCUUCAUAUCUAUGUGAUGCUUGUCUUUGUGGUUCUCAUGGUGGAGGCUGGGUUGGCUACUGAUGUAUUUCUGAAUCGUGAUUGGGAGGAGGACUUUCCAAUGGAUCCGAGUGGAAGUUUUGAUCAGUUCAAGCAGUUCAUCAGAUUGAACUUCGAUAUCUGCCAAUGGAUAGGGAUCUCAAUGAUGUCUAUUCAGGGUUUGUCUCUGUUGUUGGCUAUGUUACUAAAAGCAAUUGGAUCGCGUCGAUAUUAUGACAGCGAUGACGAUUAUGCACCUGAGAGGCUUCCGCUUCUUAAGAAUGCUCUUCAUUCACCAAGUACAUGUGUUAUUGGAGACCCCGUCUUUCCAUCCAAAAACGACGCGUGGAACAAACGAACUGACGAUGAGUAAGCCUGCAACAGAAGCAGCCUAUUACCUUGCAUUGAAUACUCUCAUUGCAUACUAGGAAAGAAGUUGAUCGAAAGCGCGAAUUUGACACGGAUUUCAUUCUCUAUUGUUUACAAAAAAUACUCGUGAUGGGUUCAGAUGUGACAACAUUAUAUGUAAAUCAUGUUAAUAGAGAUUGUGGUUCAUGUACUCUUCUGAAAGCAGUUUCCUAAAUCCUAAUGGUAUCUGUUCCUAAAAAAAAUCAUUUA